AUACGGAGGGUCCAAGCGUUAUCCGGAAUCAUUGGGUUUAAAGGGUCCGCAGGGGGUCAAUUAAGUCAGAGGUGAAAGCCCAUCGCUCAACGAUGGAACUGCCUUUGAUACUGGUUGACUUGAGUUAUACGGAAGUAGAUAGAAUAAGUAGUGUAGCGGUGAAAUGCAUAGAUAUUACUUAGAAUACCGAUUGCGAAGGCAGUCUACUACGUAUAUACUGACGCUGAGGGACGAAAGCGUGGGGAGCGAACAGGAUUAGAAACCCUUGUAGUCC
This 274-nucleotide ribosomal RNA is filed under the name uncultured bacterium. Its description in RNAcentral is "partial 16S ribosomal RNA". It matches the Rfam family "Bacterial small subunit ribosomal RNA", at positions 523 to 796 of the family's 1533-position model. The record is from RNAcentral.